CACGUAGGGCGCCAGCGUUGUCCGGAAUUAUUGGGCGUAAAGAGCUCGUAGGCGGUCUGUUACGUCUGCUGUGAAAACCCAGGGCUUAACCCCGGGCUUGCAGUGGAUACGGGCAGACUAGAGGCAGGUAGGGGAGAAUGGAAUUCCCGGUGUAGCGGUGAAAUGCGCAGAUAUCGGGAGGAACACCGGUGGCGAAGGCGGUUCUCUGGGCCGGACCUGACGCUGAGGAGCGAAAGCGUGGGGAGCGAACAGG
RNAcentral lists this ribosomal RNA (253 nucleotides) under uncultured bacterium. RNAcentral's name for it is "partial 16S ribosomal RNA". It matches the Rfam family "Bacterial small subunit ribosomal RNA", at positions 524 to 776 of the family's 1533-position model. The record is from RNAcentral.